This 429-nucleotide ribosomal RNA is filed under the name Chloroflexota bacterium. RNAcentral describes it as "Chloroflexi bacterium partial 16S ribosomal RNA". It matches the Rfam family "Bacterial small subunit ribosomal RNA", at positions 355 to 776 of the family's 1533-position model. The record is from RNAcentral. Lineage: Bacteria; Bacillati; Chloroflexota.
UGGGGAAUAUUGCACAAUGGGCGCAAGCCUGAUGCAGCCAUGCCGCGUGUAUGAAGAAGGCCUUCGGGUUUUAAAGUACUUUCAGCGGGGAGGAAGGGAGUAAAGUUAAUACCUUUGCUCAUUGACGUUACCCGCAGAAGAAGCACCGGCUAACUCCGUGCCAGCAGCCGCGGUAAUACGGAGGGUGCAAGCGUUAAUCGGAAUUACUGGGCGUAAAGCGCACGCAGGCGGUUUGUUAAGUCGGAGGUGAAAUCCCCGGGCUCAACCUGGGAACUGCAUCGGAUACGGGCAAGCUUGAGUCUCGUAGAGGGGGGUAGAAUUCCAGGUGUAGCGGUGAAAUGCGUAGAGAUCUGGAGGAAUACCGGUGGCGAAGGCGGCCCCCUGGACGAAGACUGACGCUCAGGUGCGAAAGCGUGGGGAGCAAACAGG